Molecule: transfer RNA, 75 nt
Filed under: Thermoplasmata archaeon
Lineage: Archaea; Methanobacteriati; Thermoplasmatota; Thermoplasmata
Also listed under: 2 other names
Description: tRNA-Glu
Rfam family: tRNA
About the family: Transfer RNA (tRNA) molecules are approximately 80 nucleotides in length. Their secondary structure includes four short double-helical elements and three loops (D, anti-codon, and T loops).
Source: RNAcentral
GCUCCCGUAGUCUAGUCCGGUCAAGGAUUCGUGGCCUUCGACCACGUAACGCGGGUUCGAAUCCCGCCGGGAGCA